This 318-nucleotide ribosomal RNA is filed under the name uncultured bacterium. RNAcentral describes it as "bacterial SSU rRNA". It matches the Rfam family "Bacterial small subunit ribosomal RNA", at positions 28 to 335 of the family's 1533-position model. The record is from RNAcentral.
GAUGAACGCUAGCGGCAGGCUUAAUACAUGCAAGUCGAGGGGCAGCACGGGUAGCAAUACCUGGUGGCGACCGGCAAACGGGUGCGGAACACGUACGCAACCUUCCCAAACUGGUGAUAGCCCUCCGAAAGGAGGAUUAAUACGCCGUACCAUAAUGAAGAGGCAUCUCUUUAUUAUUAUAGGCUUCGGUCGGUUUUGGUAUGGGCGUGCGCCUGAUUAGGUAGUUGGCGGGGUAACGGCCCGACCAACGACCUCGCGAUCAGUAACUAGGUGUGAGAGCACGACCACGUCACACGGGCGACUGAGACACGGGCCCGA